CCCUUAGAUGUCCGGGGCCGCACGCGCGCUACACUGAAGGAAUCAGCGUGGCUUUCUCCCUGGUCCGAAAGGACCGGGAAACCCGUUGAAUCUCCUUCGUGAUAGGGAUUGGGGCUUGAAAUUGUUCCCCAUGAACGAGGAAUUCCCAGUAAGCGCGAGUCAUAAGCUCGCGUUGAUUACGUCCCUGCCCUUUGUACACACCGCCCGUCGCUACUACCGAUUGAAUGGUUUAGUGAGAUCCUUGGAUCGGCCCUGUCGCGGCUGGCAACGGCCGCGUCGGCGCGUCGAGAAGACGAUCAAACUUGAUCAUUUAGAGGAAGUAAAAGUCGUAACA
This 334-nucleotide ribosomal RNA is filed under the name uncultured eukaryote. RNAcentral describes it as "partial 18S ribosomal RNA". It matches the Rfam family "Eukaryotic small subunit ribosomal RNA", at positions 1470 to 1796 of the family's 1831-position model. The record is from RNAcentral.